RNAcentral lists this ribosomal RNA (253 nucleotides) under uncultured bacterium. RNAcentral's name for it is "partial 16S ribosomal RNA". It matches the Rfam family "Bacterial small subunit ribosomal RNA", at positions 524 to 776 of the family's 1533-position model. The record is from RNAcentral.
UACGAAGGGGGCUAGCGUUGUUCGGAAUUACUGGGCGUAAAGCGCGCGCAGGCGGUCCUCCAAGUCAGUGGUGAAAGCCCGGAGCUCAACUCCAGAACUGCCUUUGAUACUGAAAGUCUUGAGUAUGGGAGAGGUGAGUGGAACUGCGAGUGUAGAGGUGAAAUUCGUAGAUAUUCGCAAGAACACCAGUGGCGAAGGCGGCUCACUGGCCCAUUACUGACGCUGAGGCACGAAAGCGUGGGGAGCAAACAGG